RNAcentral lists this ribosomal RNA (911 nucleotides) under Dothiorella sarmentorum. Its description in RNAcentral is "LSU rRNA". It matches the Rfam family "Eukaryotic large subunit ribosomal RNA", at positions 33 to 964 of the family's 3401-position model. The record is from RNAcentral. Lineage: Eukaryota; Fungi; Ascomycota; Dothideomycetes; Botryosphaeriales; Botryosphaeriaceae.
ACUACAUAUCAAUAAGCGGAGGAAAAGAAACCAACUGGGAUUGCCUUAGUAACGGCGAGUGAAGCGGCAAUAGCUCAAAUUUGAAAGCUGGCCCCUUUGGGGUCCGCGUUGUAAUUUGUAGAGGAUGAUUCGGCGAGGGCUCCCGUCUAAGUCCCCUGGAACGGGGCGUCAUAGAGGGUGAGAAUCCCGUAUGUGAUGGGUUGCCUUAGCCAUGUGAAUCUCCUUCGACGAGUCGAGUUGUUUGGGAAUGCAGCUCUAAAUGGGAGGUAAAUUUCUUCUAAAGCUAAAUACCGGCCAGAGACCGAUAGCGCACAAGUAGAGUGAUCGAAAGAUGAAAAGCACUUUGGAAAGAGAGUUAAAAAGUACGUGAAAUUGUUGAAAGGGAAGCGCUUGCAGCCAGACUUGUCCGCAGUUGCUCAGCCGGUCUCCUGACCGGCGUACUCUUCUGCGGCCAGGCCAGCAUCAGUUCGGGCGGUCGGAUAAAGACCUCGGGAAUGUAGCUCCUCUCGGGGAGUGUUAUAGCCCGGGGUGGAAUGCGGCCAGCCUGGACUGAGGAUCUCGCUUCGGCUAGGAUGCUGGCGUAAUGGCUGUAAGCGGCCCGUCUUGAAACACGGACCAAGGAGUCUAACAUCUAUGCGAGUGUUUGGGUGUCAAACCCAUACGCGUAAUGAAAGUGAACGGAGGUGGGAACCCUCACGGGUGCACCAUCGACCGAUCCUGAUGUCUUCGGAUGGAUUUGAGUAUGAGCAUAGCUGUUGGGACCCGAAAGAUGGUGAACUAUGCCUGAAUAGGGUGAAGCCAGAGGAAACUCUGGUGGAGGCUCGCAGCGGUUCUGACGUGCAAAUCGAUCGUCAAAUUUGGGUAUAGGGGCGAAAGACUAAUCGAACCAUCUAGUAGCUGGUUCCUGCGAG